RNAcentral lists this ribosomal RNA (360 nucleotides) under Flavobacterium sp. RNAcentral's name for it is "bacterial SSU rRNA". It matches the Rfam family "Bacterial small subunit ribosomal RNA", at positions 492 to 856 of the family's 1533-position model. Lineage: Bacteria; Pseudomonadati; Bacteroidota; Flavobacteriia; Flavobacteriales; Flavobacteriaceae. The record is from RNAcentral.
AUCGGCUAACUCCGUGCCAGCAGCCGCGGUAAUACGGAGGAUCCAAGCGUUAUCCGGAAUCAUUGGGUUUAAAGGGUCCGUAGGCGGUUUAAUAAGUCAGUGGUGAAAGCCCAUCGCUCAACGGUGGAACGGCCAUUGAUACUGUUAAACUUGAAUUAUUAGGAAGUAACUAGAAUAUGUAGUGUAGCGGUGAAAUGCUUAGAGAUUACAUGGAAUACCAAUUGCGAAGGCAGGUUACUACUAAUGGAUUGACGCUGAUGGACGAAAGCGUGGGUAGCGAACAGGAUUAGAUACCCUGGUAGUCCACGCCGUAAACGAUGGAUACUAGCUGUUGGAAGCAAUUUCAGUGGCUAAGCGAAA